UAACUAACCAUCAUGACAAUAAUUCUUGGAGGAGCAUAACAUGAACCAGACCCCAUGAAAAGAUUAUAUGCCGAUGUUGUAGUGAAGGCCUAAGGGCAUUCCCUGACCGUAAAAAAGUUCACAGAUCUUCAAUGUUAAAAAGAUUUUUGGGGCGUAAAUUGUCACUCUGUGUCUGAAGCAUUUUACGAUGGGUCGAUUAACAGUAUUGUGCGCACACACGCUUGUCGCUUCUGGGUCCAUUCGCCUUUUCUGCUCGAUGUCCCCACUCCCUUCUCUUCUGCUCGCCAGAGAAGAUAAUGGUUGCAGAACUAUUGACUUAUAUCAGCAAUGCGUUCAAUAUCGCCCAUUAUGCGGGGGACAUGGACCUACAGUCAAAAGUGCAUGUUUGAUCCCAAAAGCACAGGGUUAAUUACUGUUCCGGUAAAUACUAAGGCUCACUGGGGAACAAGAGGAUGUUGGUGUCGUUUGGUUCUGUUGCAUGCUCUGGACCGGUGGGCUCGUUUAGUUCUUGUCCCGAUACAUUCUCUGAUAGUGGGCACCUUGUUGAAAGUGCAGUGAGCCUUCCAGAAAAUUGCUGAUCCCAGAGGGUUUUAAGGGCUUCGUCUGCUGAGGUAUCGUCGGCCCCGCCCCGCCCUGGUGAUAAACUGUCAACAACAAGCUUUCGGUGGUGGCCUAAAGUCUCCGAGCUUUUUGGUUUUGGUUCCUUUCACGUCGAGGCGCUCACGACUUUGGAAAAGGGCGUGCACGGUCAGUUUGUUAAUUAGCCGAUAUAUAUAUAUUCUCCAAAGUAGAUCAAAUAUUUUCCAUUUACUAAUAAGGCGCAAAACGCACACGCGCAUUUGGCCGUCAUCUGGUUGGUUCACAACAUUGCUCUUUCCUAGAGACCGAGUGACCGUUAUUUUCGUCAAGAGCUGGAUCAUUUCUCACUUUUAGUGCUUCUUAACUAAAUCCUUGCUUGUUAAUUAAUCCAUCAUGAGUUCGAGGAAAUGUUAAAUACAAUAUUACGCAUACCUGUGCACGUUUACACUGGGUUUAUUUUCGUAGGAUUGUAGAACAAGGCUUUUCGUUAUGUUUUCUAGGGGGCGCGCGCGGACAAAAGGGUAUUACUUCUUAGAAUUUUGUUAAUGAGAGAUAUUUCCCUACUUUUUAGCAAUUUUUGA
Asparagus officinalis (garden asparagus) is the source of this 1160-nucleotide long non-coding RNA. RefSeq lists it as uncharacterized. Lineage: Eukaryota; Viridiplantae; Streptophyta; Magnoliopsida; Asparagales; Asparagaceae. The transcript is spliced from 3 exons. The record is from RefSeq and is a predicted model, not a curated record.